CUACAGGCUUAACACAUGCAAGUCGAGGGGCAGCAUUUUAGUUUGCUUGCAAACUGAAGAUGGCGACCGGCGCACGGGUGAGUAACACGUAUCCAACCUGCCGAUAACUCCGGAAUAGCCUUUCGAAAGAAAGAUUAAUACCGGAUGGCAUACGAAUAUCGCAUGAUAUUUUUAUUAAAGAAUUUCGGUUAUCGAUGGGGAUGCGUUCCAUUAGUUUGUUGGCGGGGUAACGGCCCACCAAGACUACGAUGGAUAGGGGUUCUGAGAGGAAGGUCCCCCACAUUGGAACUGAGACACGGUCCAAACUCCUACGGGAGGCAGCAGUGAGGAAUAUUGGUCAAUGGGCGAGAGCCUGAACCAGCCAAGUAGCGUGAAGGAUGAAGGCUCUAUGGGUCGUAAACUUCUUUUAUAUGGGAAUAAAGUUUUCCACGUGUGGAAUUUUGUAUGUACCAUAUGAAUAAGGAUCGGCUAACUCCGUGCCAGCAGCCGCGGUAAUACGGAGGAUCCGAGCGUUAUCCGGAUUUAUUGGGUUUAAAGGGAGCGUAGGUGGAUUGUUAAGUCAGUUGUGAAAGUUUGCGGCUCAACCGUAAAAUUGCAGUUGAAACUGGGAGUCUUGAGUACAGUAGAGGUGGGCGGAAUUCGUGGUGUAGCGGUGAAAUGCUUAGAUAUCACGAAGAACUCCGAUUGCGAAGGCAGCUCACUAGACUGUCACUGACACUGAUGCUCGAAAGUGUGGGUAUCAAACAGGAUUAGAUACCCUGGUAGUCCACACAGUAAACGAUGAAUACUCGCUGUUUGCGAUAUACAGUAAGCGGCCAAGCGAAAGCAUUAAGUAUUCCACCUGGGGAGUACGCCGGCAACGGUGAAACUCAAAGGAAUUGACGGGGGCCCGCACGAGCGGAGGAACAUGUGGUUUAAUUCGAUGAUACGCGAGGAACCUUACCCGGGCUUAAAUUGCAACAGAAUAUAUUGGAAACAGUAUAGCCGUAAGGCUGUUGUGAAGGUGCUGCAUGGUUGUCGUCAGCUCGUGCCGUGAGGUGUCGGCUUAAGUGCCAUAACGAGCGCAACCCUUAUCUUUAGUUACUAACAGGUUAUGCUGAGGACUCUAGAGAGACUGCCGUCGUAAGAUGUGAGGAAGGUGGGGAUGACGUCAAAUCAGCACGGCCCUUACGUCCGGGGCUACACACGUGUUACAAUGGGGGGUACAGAAGGCGGCUACCUGGUGACAGGAUGCUAAUCCCAAAAACCUCUCUCAGUUCGGAUCGAAGUCUGCAACCCGACUUCGUGAAGCUGGAUUCGCUAGUAAUCGCGCAUCAGCCAUGGCGCGGUGAAUACGUUCCCGGGCCUUGUACACACCGCCCGUCAAGCCAUGAAAGCCGGGGGUACCUGAAGUACGUAACCGCAAGGAGCGUCCUAGGGUAAAACUGGUAAUUGGGGCUAAGUCAUAA
This 1448-nucleotide ribosomal RNA is filed under the name uncultured organism. RNAcentral describes it as "SSU rRNA". It matches the Rfam family "Bacterial small subunit ribosomal RNA". The record is from RNAcentral.